UUGGUUGCCUUGUUCUCUAGGCACAUUGACGCCUGAAUACCACUAUGUGGUCCACCAUAAAAUUUUAUUCAACAUCAAUGUGCCUAGAGAACAAGGCAACCAAAGUACUGACCAGAUCUUAGUAAUUAAAAUAAAUUUUAUUACUAUUAUUUUUUUGGGAUAGAGAGAAAAGCAUGAAAAUGGCUAUGAGCCAUAUUGCAACUUUAAUACAAGACUAAGACUCAACAAUGGCAGAGUGGACUUGCAGCCAAUAAGCAUGACAUAACCACAAAAGACAAGGCUUCCGAUGCUGGUCAGAUCCGAUCAGCCAGGUACCUCAUCAGUGAGUUGACAGGCUUAGCAGUGCCAACACCUUCAAUUCCCCUGCAUUUUAUCUUAAUCCGAGCAAGGUAAUCAGCUGCAAUCCAAGCAAAGCUCAACAUUGCAGCAUUGUCAGCAGCUUCAGGCCCUUGCAACUCCAGUGACUUAUUUAUCCAACUGGGAUGGUAAGCAACCUGGUACCAUGCU
RNAcentral lists this unclassified non-coding RNA (507 nucleotides) under Hevea brasiliensis (rubber tree). Lineage: Eukaryota; Viridiplantae; Streptophyta; Magnoliopsida; Malpighiales; Euphorbiaceae. The record is from RNAcentral.